This 267-nucleotide ribosomal RNA is filed under the name uncultured bacterium. Its description in RNAcentral is "partial 16S ribosomal RNA". It matches the Rfam family "Bacterial small subunit ribosomal RNA", at positions 793 to 1055 of the family's 1533-position model. The record is from RNAcentral.
GUCCACGCUGUAAACGAUGAGUGCUAGACGUUGGAGGGCUUAGCUCUUCAGUGUCGCAGCCAACGCGAUAAGCACUCCGCCUGGGGAGUACGGCCGCAAGGUUAAAACUCAAAGGAAUUGACGGGGCCCGCCACAAGCGGUGGAGCAUGUGGUUCAAUUCGAAGCAACGCGAAGAACCUUACCAGCUCUUGACAUGGGACGUUUGGGUUCGGGAGACCGGACCCUUCAGUUCGGCUGGCGUCCACACAGGUGCUGCAUGGCUGUCGU